AAGUUGACUCAGGUAGGUUGGUUAGUCAAAAACUUCACUUGGUUUAUAACAAAAUAAAUUUUAAUUUAAUUUAAACGGAAAAUGCUAAAUUACAGUUGAGUAAACUGAGUUUGAAUAAAUCAAUUACCUAGUCAACUCAGUUAAUUUCACGAACUUUACCUGGGUUAGAAGCCGGUGCUGAGUUUUGAUCAGAGUCAAGACUAGCAAAGCUGUUAAAGCUGCUUCACCACCGGCGCAUGUUAGCAGGCUUUGUUUAACCAUUGUUACACCAGGUGAACCACAGUUAAUCUCCAUACUGCACAAAACACAACUUUUAAAAUAGGGACCGUCAGAUCUAAAGAAUCUAAGUGCAACAACCGUCAGAUCUUAAUUAAGAAAUCACAUCAACAGCAGCAAAACAGAUUUCAAAAUAUCUGAAAAGACAAAAAUAGAAGACGACAAAACUCUACUUUACUCGUCACAGAAAUCGAGGGGGACAAGGAAAAUCUUCUGAAAACAUAUGAUAAUCCGCGUAAUUAUAAAGUAAAAUACAAAGAGAGCCGUGUGGAAAUUCGUACAAUUCAAGCAAAAAUUUCGCGUAAUUACAGAAUACAAAAAGAGCUCUGCUAGGCUGACAGGGGAAAUAAACAGGCGCUGUGUAGUGUAAAUAGUGUAAACAAUUAGAAAAAUUGAAAAAGUAAGAAACAAAAAUUAGGCCAAAUUGCAAUAAAGAAGAAAUGGUUGAGAAAAUCUUACCAGAAGAAGAGAACGGAGCUUGAGUUGGGAGAAUCUGGAAAUCCGAAGAGCUAAAAACUUGAAUAACUGAUAUCAGAGGCAACUUUCAUUCUUUACCAUCCGAUCAAGCGGAGAAAAGUAUAGAGACGGAUAGAUGUAAAUAUAAUCUUUCAAAGAAGAAGCAGUUUGUGUGUGCGCGAGUGUGGGGGGUGUUACUGAGGAAGCUGCCCGUAAUGUCCAGAUGAGGUUCGGGUAGCUCUUUGAUCAAGUGGACUAGAGAAAAUAUCCAGUGGGCACAGGCUGCCCGGAUUAGAGUUGGACAGCGUAGUUUAAUUAAAUUAAAAUUAAAAAUUAUCGAUGCAAACUUUGCAACAGAAAUAAAAGUUUAAUAGAUUUUUAUAAAAUUUGAUUAAAAAAUUGAAAAUAUUAUGGUUAAAAUUAAAG
RNAcentral lists this long non-coding RNA (1158 nucleotides) under Olea europaea (common olive). Its description in RNAcentral is "long non-coding RNA (OEUR_LNC012451)". Lineage: Eukaryota; Viridiplantae; Streptophyta; Magnoliopsida; Lamiales; Oleaceae. The record is from RNAcentral.